RNAcentral lists this transfer-messenger RNA (353 nucleotides) under Minisyncoccota bacterium. It matches the Rfam family "transfer-messenger RNA". Rfam says of the family: Bacterial tmRNA, also known as 10Sa RNA or SsrA, is named for its dual tRNA and mRNA-like properties. Lineage: Bacteria; Bacillati; Minisyncoccota. The record is from RNAcentral. RNAcentral also lists the same sequence under 2 other names.
GGGGAUGAUCGGCCUGGACAAAGAGUACGUUUAAAUCACGCAAGCCGAGUGUUCUAAAAACUCGUAAAACUUUCAGAAAUCUAAUUAAGCGUCAAAAACUUAUUUAGCCAACCGGCGUUAGCUUACGCUUAACCCGGCGUUCCCCCGGCCCACUUCCGAUAAGCCGGACGGAAUGUCAUUUAUCGGGAUAGGAAAAUUUCCGCCUCAAAAAUUUUCCGAAAAAUUAGAGGCUCUGGAUUCGGAGAUUUUGAUUGUUUAAUACCCCGUUUCCGAAACGAACAAACAACCUAAGCUUGUAGAACUGAUUUAAAACAGCUUUUUGCACGGCGGUUCGAUUCCGCCCAUCUCCAUAA